Molecule: ribosomal RNA, 505 nt
Filed under: uncultured bacterium
Lineage: Bacteria
Description: partial 16S ribosomal RNA
Rfam family: Bacterial small subunit ribosomal RNA
Source: RNAcentral
GACGAACGCUGGCGGCGUGCCUAAUACAUGCAAGUGGGACGCAAGGACACACACUGUGCUUGCACACCGUGUUUUCUUGAGUCGCGAACGGGUGAGUAACGCGUAGGUAACCUGCCUAUUAGCGGGGGAUAACUAUUGGAAACGAUAGCUAAUACCGCAUAAUAUUAAUUAUUGCAUGAUAAUUGAUUGAAAGAUGCAAGCGCAUCACUAGUAGAUGGACCUGCGUUGUAUUAGCUAGUUGGUAAGGUAAGAGCUUACCAAGGCGACGAUACAUAGCCGACCUGAGAGGGUGAUCGGCCACACUGGGACUGAGACACGGCCCAGACUCCUACGGGAGGCAGCAGUAGGGAAUCUUCGGCAAUGGACGAAAGUCUGACCGAGCAACGCCGCGGGAGGGAAGAAGGGUGUCGGAUCGUAAAGCUCUGUUGUAAGUCAAGAACGUGUGUGAGAGUGGAAAGUUCACAAAGUGACGGUAGCUUACCAGAAAGGGACGGCUAACUACGUG